This 478-nucleotide ribosomal RNA is filed under the name uncultured bacterium. RNAcentral's name for it is "partial 16S ribosomal RNA". It matches the Rfam family "Bacterial small subunit ribosomal RNA", at positions 28 to 523 of the family's 1533-position model. The record is from RNAcentral.
GACGAACGCUGGCGGCGUGCUUAACACAUGCAAGUCGAACGGUAAGGCCCUUCGGGGUACACGAGUGACGAACGGGUGAGUAACACGUGGGUGAUCUGCCCUGCACUUCGGGAUAAGCCUGGGAAACUGGGUCUAAUACCGGAUAGGACCCUGGGAUGCAUGUCCUGGGGUGGAAAGCUUUUGCGGUGUGGGAUGGGCCCGCGGCCUAUCAGCUUGUUGGUGGGGCGAUGGCCUACCAAGGCGACGACGGGUAGCCGGCCUGAGAGGGUGACCGGCCACACUGGGACUGAGAUACGGCCCAGACUCCUACGGGAGGCAGCAGUGGGGAAUAUUGCACAAUGGGCGCAAGCCUGAUGCAGCGACGCCGCGUGAGGGAUGACGGCCUUCGGGUUGUAAACCUCUUUCAGCACCGACGAAGCGCAAGUGACGGUAGGUGCAGAAGAAGGACCGGCCAACUACGUGCCAGCAGCCGCGGUAA